RNAcentral lists this ribosomal RNA (1024 nucleotides) under Klebsiella variicola. Its description in RNAcentral is "bacterial SSU rRNA". It matches the Rfam family "Bacterial small subunit ribosomal RNA", at positions 44 to 1061 of the family's 1533-position model. The record is from RNAcentral. Lineage: Bacteria; Pseudomonadati; Pseudomonadota; Gammaproteobacteria; Enterobacterales; Enterobacteriaceae.
GGGCCUACACAUGCAGUCGAGCGGUAGCACAGAGAGCUUGCUCUCGGGUGACGAGCGGCGGACGGGUGAGUAAUGUCUGGGAAACUGCCUGAUGGAGGGGGAUAACUACUGGAAACGGUAGCUAAUACCGCAUAACGUCGCAAGACCAAAGUGGGGGACCUUCGGGCCUCAUGCCAUCAGAUGUGCCCAGAUGGGAUUAGCUGGUAGGUGGGGUAACGGCUCACCUAGGCGACGAUCCCUAGCUGGUCUGAGAGGAUGACCAGCCACACUGGAACUGAGACACGGUCCAGACUCCUACGGGAGGCAGCAGUGGGGAAUAUUGCACAAUGGGCGCAAGCCUGAUGCAGCCAUGCCGCGUGUGUGAAGAAGGCCUUCGGGUUGUAAAGCACUUUCAGCGGGGAGGAAGGCGGUGAGGUUAAUAACCUCAUCGAUUGACGUUACCCGCAGAAGAAGCACCGGCUAACUCCGUGCCAGCAGCCGCGGUAAUACGGAGGGUGCAAGCGUUAAUCGGAAUUACUGGGCGUAAAGCGCACGCAGGCGGUCUGUCAAGUCGGAUGUGAAAUCCCCGGGCUCAACCUGGGAACUGCAUUCGAAACUGGCAGGCUAGAGUCUUGUAGAGGGGGGUAGAAUUCCAGGUGUAGCGGUGAAAUGCGUAGAGAUCUGGAGGAAUACCGGUGGCGAAGGCGGCCCCCUGGACAAAGACUGACGCUCAGGUGCGAAAGCGUGGGGAGCAAACAGGAUUAGAUACCCUGGUAGUCCACGCUGUAAACGAUGUCGAUUUGGAGGUUGUGCCCUUGAGGCGUGGCUUCCGGAGCUAACGCGUUAAAUCGACCGCCUGGGGAGUACGGCCGCAAGGUUAAAACUCAAAUGAAUUGACGGGGGCCCGCACAAGCGGUGGAGCAUGUGGUUUAAUUCGAUGCAACGCGAAGAACCUUACCUGGUCUUGACAUCCACAGAACUUUCCAGAGAUGGAUUGGUGCCUUCGGGAACUGUGAGACAGGUGCUGCAUGGCUGUCGUCAGCUC